Molecule: ribosomal RNA, 466 nt
Filed under: uncultured bacterium
Lineage: Bacteria
Description: partial 16S ribosomal RNA
Rfam family: Bacterial small subunit ribosomal RNA
Source: RNAcentral
GACGAACGCUGGCGGCGCGCCUAACCCAUGCAAGUCGAACGAGCGAGAGAGAGCUUGCUUUCUUGAGCGAGUGGCGAACGGGUGAGUAACGCGUGAGGAACCUGCCUCAAAGAGGGGGACAACAGUUGGAAACGACUGCUAAUACCGCAUAAGCCCACGGUGCCGCAUGGCACAGAGGGAAAAGGAGCAAUCCGCUUUGAGAUGGCCUCGCGUCCGAUUAGCUAGUUGGUGAGGUAACGGCCCACCAAGGCGACGAUCGGUAGCCGGACUGCGAGGUUGAACGGCCACAUUGGGACUGAGACACGGCCCAGACUCCUACGGGAGGCAGCAGUGGGGAAUAUUGCACAAUGGGGGAAACCCUGAUGCAGCGACGCCGCGUGGAGGAAGAAGGUCUUCGGAUUGUAAACUCCUGUUGUUGGGGAAGAUAAUGACGGUACCCAACAAGGAAGUGACGGCUAACUACGUG